CGAACGGGUGAGUAGCACGUGGGUGAUCUGCCCUGCACUUCGGGAUAAGCUUGGGAAACUGGGUCUAAUACCGGAUAGGACUACGGACUGCAUGGUCUGUGGUGGAAAGCUUUUGCGGUGUGGGAUGGGCCCGCGGCCUAUCAGCUUGUUGGUGGGGUGAUGGCCUACCAAGGCGACGACGGGUAGCCGGCCUGAGAGGGUGUCCGGCCACACUGGGACUGAAACACGGUCCAG
RNAcentral lists this ribosomal RNA (234 nucleotides) under uncultured bacterium. RNAcentral's name for it is "partial 16S ribosomal RNA". It matches the Rfam family "Bacterial small subunit ribosomal RNA", at positions 99 to 334 of the family's 1533-position model. The record is from RNAcentral.